UGGGGAAUAUUGCACAAUGGGCGCAAGCCUGAUGCAGCCAUGCCGCGUGUGUGAAGAAGGCCUUCGGGUUGUAAAGCACUUUCAGCGGGGAGGAAGGCGAUAAGGUUAAUAACCUUGUCGAUUGACGUUACCCGCAGAAGAAGCACCGGCUAACUCCGUGCCAGCAGCCGCGGUAAUACGGAGGGUGCAAGCGUUAAUCGGAAUUACUGGGCGUAAAGCGCACGCAGGCGGUCUGUCAAGUCGGAUGUGAAAUCCCCGGGCUCAACCUGGGAACUGCAUUCGAAACUGGCAGGCUAGAGUCUUGUAGAGGGGGGUAGAAUUCCAGGUGUAGCGGUGAAAUGCGUAGAGAUCUGGAGGAAUACCGGUGGCGAAGGCGGCCCCCUGGACAAAGACUGACGCUCAGGUGCGAAAGCGUGGGGAGCAAAAAGG
This 429-nucleotide ribosomal RNA is filed under the name Chloroflexota bacterium. RNAcentral describes it as "Chloroflexi bacterium partial 16S ribosomal RNA". It matches the Rfam family "Bacterial small subunit ribosomal RNA", at positions 355 to 776 of the family's 1533-position model. Lineage: Bacteria; Bacillati; Chloroflexota. The record is from RNAcentral.